This 588-nucleotide ribosomal RNA is filed under the name uncultured bacterium. RNAcentral describes it as "partial 16S ribosomal RNA". It matches the Rfam family "Bacterial small subunit ribosomal RNA", at positions 355 to 1375 of the family's 1533-position model. The record is from RNAcentral.
UGGGGAAUUUUGGACAAUGGGCGAAAGCCUGAUCCAGCAAUGCCGCGUGUGUGAAGAAGGCCUUCGGGUUGUAAAGCACUUUUGUCCGGAAAGAAAUCCUUGGCUCUAAUACAGUCGGGGGAUGACGGUACCGGAAGAAUAAGCACCGGCUAACUACGUGCCAGCAGCCGCGGUAAUACGUAGGGUGCAAGCGUUAAUCGGAAUUACUGGGCGUAAAGCGUGCGCAGGCGGUUUGCUAAGACCGAUGUGAAAUCCCCGGGCUCAACCUGGGGAACUGCAUUGGUGACUGGCAGGCUAGAGUAUGGCAGAGGGGGGUAGAAUUCCACGUGUAGCAGUGAAAUGCGUAGAGAUGUGGAGGAAUACCGAUGGCGAAGGCAGCCCCCUGGGCCAAUACUGACGCUCAUGCACGAAAGCGUGGGGAGCAAAACAGGAUUAGAUACCCUGGUAGUCCACGCCCUAAACGAUGUCAACUAGUUGUUGGGGGAUUCAUUUCCUUAGUAACGUAGCUAACGCGUGAAGUUGACCGCCUGGGGAGUACGGUCGCAAGAUUAAAACUCAAAGGAAUUGACGGGGUCAUAGCUGUUUCCU